RNAcentral lists this transfer RNA (71 nucleotides) under Tannerella sp. RNAcentral's name for it is "tRNA-Cys". It matches the Rfam family "tRNA". Rfam says of the family: Transfer RNA (tRNA) molecules are approximately 80 nucleotides in length. The record is from RNAcentral. Lineage: Bacteria; Pseudomonadati; Bacteroidota; Bacteroidia; Bacteroidales; Tannerellaceae.
GGUUCCUUGGCCGAGCGGUUAGGCACCGGUCUGCAAAACCGAUUACAGCGGUUCGAAUCCGCUAGGAACCU